AGUGCUGGGAUUACAGGCUUGAGCCACCGCGCCCGGCCGGGAAGGCCUUUCUAGAUGAGAUGUUGGGGUAUUUGGGAUUCUAAUUGUUAACCCCAGAAGAAGGUAAUUUAGCUUGUAUUUAUUUAAAACCCAUUUAGCCUUUUAAUUAUAUCAGGUAGAAGUCCAGUGAUCAUCCUAAUAAGGUAUAUUUCAGAAUAAAUUUUUUUUCCUUCAGAAUAACUUAGAAUCAGAUGCUCCUAGGGCUCCUAGGAGCAGUGUGAAAUUUCAGUAAAGAUAAAUUUGAAUGUUGUAACCAAGUUUAUAUUAAAUCAAGAGGCCAUUUCCAAUAUGAUUUUUUGUUUCUUUUUAACUUGUUAAGUCCCUAAGAGAUUACAUGCUAGGGCUUGAGUCAUAUCUGUCAUAGAUAAUGAUGGCCCACACAUUCACUUUGGACUGUCCACAUAAGCUAGGCUUUCCGCUUUUGCCACGGACAAUGUAACCAAGAUAUUUCCAGAGUAAAUAACCCACCACAACCUUGGUAAUUCCUCUUUUCUUCUUUUUUUAUUUUUAUUUUUAUUUUUUUUUGAGACGGAGUCUUGCUCCUGGGGGACAAAGUGGGACCCUAUCUCAAAAAAAAAAAAAAGUCAUCCUUCUGUAACUACUGAUUGACAUGUGGAUCAUCAGUUCAGACCCUCACUGCAUACAGGAUCCCUAGGGGGUUCUAUUUAAUAGCUUGAGAAAGGGAGACUAAAAGGACGUCUGUGAGUGAAAUAGGGUAUAGCUGUUACCACAGUGCCAGGACCUGAGAGCGUUCCAAUUCUUUUUGUAGCAUGGGGAAUCAAAGGUGGCAGACCAAUUUCAACUCAGGGCUGAGGUAUCCACAUUGUCCACAUCAGGCAAGCCCUGCACUGAUGGUUGAGCCUCAUGGAGACGAGCAUAUGUUGGGAAGAGAUCCCUUUGUUACUGUUUUGUGUUGUUCUCUUCAAUGAGUUAGAGCUCAUGCCCCUUUUAUGGCUUUGCUGUUGAUUUUGGAUGGUAGAGAAUAUUCCUGAGAGCCUUCCUUUUGACCCCUAGCUUAUCCCACCCACUCUCUUCUCUUGGUUGAAUUCUCUGAAGGAAAAGUUCAUGUGCUAUUGUCCUUUUAGUCAAUAGUCUUCACAUAUAAUUGUGUUACGUAUAUUGCUAUAGACUCUCAGAAAUCGGGGUAGAGCUUUUCCUUUGAGCAGUUUAAUGAGUGAAUUCAGCAGCAAAGUGGCAAGAAAUGGUUCUCCAGCCAGGAGAGGUUAUGUUUAUCCUCCGAUUGCCCAUUUUCUCUGCACACAAUAAUAUCGUAUUCAGUGAGAGGUGCUGUUGGCACCCAGCAGCGCCCUGGGCACACAGCAUUUCAUGUCAUGUCACAGUGUACAAGCUACCCUCUCUCAUUUAGAAAGAAGAGCAUUUUGCACAGAGAAAAAGUAAAAAGAUCCAUGAAUGUCAUUUUUUAUCUUUUAUUUUCAGUUGGCUGAUGUUGGAAUUUUUGUUCUUGUCAUGAACUUGUAAACCAAUCUUGCCAAGAUACAAGUUGUUUUGGUUUUUCACUACGAUGACCUCUUGUUCCUCCUGUCUUGACUGCUGAUGUUUCCUCAAUGAUUCUAUUGUCUAUUUUAUGGGAAGCAGCCUUCCUAUAGGUUUCCUUUUACACACUGCAGGGCUAUCUUUAUACUUUAAAAAAAAAAAGGACAAGAACUGUCACUAACCUCAUGGGGGGUUUUCGUAAAACCAUUUAGCCCACCUUGAGCAAAGGGUAGAUUCUGUGUUGUUUUUUUAAGCUCAUUGUAAUAAAAUAAAUCUAAUUCAGCAUUAUUGUGCUACCUCAAAGGUAAAAAAUGUUUUAAGGUCUUCUUUUGGUCCUGAGUUCUGCAUACAGUGUUUGAAAUGUCUUUCAAUUGGAAUUAUUUUUUAAAUCAUUGGAGUGAAUUUUAUUUUAAUCUGUUUUAAACUUGUAUUUUAAUCUCAGAAGAAUAAGUGAUUGAAACGUGAUCAAUUCUUGCUCUGUGGUGUUAAACAUAUAAUGAACAGUCAUUAAGAAUUAAGUCACUGUUUGCCAUAAACAAGGUUGAUGUUCUUUUUGUUGUUGUUAAGGAAACCCUAGGGCUUGGCUUUACUCUUGAUUAAUAAAGGCUGACAAAUCAU
This 2151-nucleotide long non-coding RNA is filed under the name Macaca fascicularis (crab-eating macaque). Its description in RNAcentral is "lncRNA (ENSMFAG00000047950.1)". The record is from RNAcentral. Lineage: Eukaryota; Metazoa; Chordata; Mammalia; Primates; Cercopithecidae.